RNAcentral lists this ribosomal RNA (809 nucleotides) under Scolecobasidium gamsii. RNAcentral's name for it is "eukaryotic LSU rRNA". It matches the Rfam family "Eukaryotic large subunit ribosomal RNA", at positions 71 to 883 of the family's 3401-position model. The record is from RNAcentral. Lineage: Eukaryota; Fungi; Ascomycota; Dothideomycetes; Venturiales; Sympoventuriaceae.
GGGAUUGCCCUAGUAACGGCGAGUGAAGCGGCAACAGCUCAAAUUUGAAAUCUGGGGUCGAUUGCGGCCUCCGAGUUGUAGUUUGCAGAGGGAGCCUCGGAGGGCUGAGCGGUCCAAGUGCCUUGGAACAGGAUACCUAAGAGGGUGAGAGUCCCGUAUCUGGCCGGAUCAGCGCUCCGUGUGAGGCCUCUUCGACGAGUCGAGUUGUUUGGGAAUGCAGCUCCAAGCGGGUGGUAAAUUCCAUCUAAAGCUAAAUACUGGCCAGAGACCGAUAGCGAACAAGUAGAGUGAUCGAAAGAUGAAAAGCACUUUGAAAAGAGAGUCAAACAGUACGUGAAAUUGUUGAAAGGGAAGCGCAUGGGGGCAGACUUGGCCGCGGGGUUCAGGGUGUCAUUUUUGGCGCCUGUACUUCCUCGCGGACAGGCCAGCAUCGGUUCUGGGGGCCGGACAAAGGCGGCGGGAACGUGGCUCUCCUCGGAGAGUGUUAUAGCCCGCCGUGCAAUGCGGCCACCUGGGACCGAGGACCGCGCCUUGUGCAAGGAUGCUGGCGUAAUGGCCUCAUGCGGCCCGUCUUGAAACACGGACCAAGGAGUCUAACAUCUAUGCGAGUGUUUGGGUGAGAGAAGCCCGGGCGCGCAAUGAAAGUGAACGGAGGUGGGAGUUUCUGUUUCUGCGGGAACGCACCAUCGACCGAUCCGGACGUCUUCUGAAGGAUUUGAGUAAGAGCAUAGCUGUUGGGACCCGAAAGAUGGUGAACUAUGCGUGAAUAGGGUGAAGCCAGAGGAAACUCUGGUGGAGGCUCGCAGCGG